This 142-nucleotide unclassified non-coding RNA is filed under the name uncultured Lachnum. RNAcentral describes it as "sequence contains ITS2". Lineage: Eukaryota; Fungi; Ascomycota; Leotiomycetes; Helotiales; Hyaloscyphaceae. The record is from RNAcentral.
AUACCAAUCUAGCCUGGCUAGGUGUUGGGUUUCGCCGUCUGGCGGGCCUUAAAACUAGUGGCGGUGCUCUGAAGCUCUACGCGUAGUAAUUUUCUCGCUAUAGGGUCUUGGGAGAUGCUUGCCAGCAACCCCAAAUUUUUUA